AGAGCGAACGCUGGCGGCAGGCCUAACACAUGCAAGUCGAACGGACCCUUCGGGGUUAGUGGCGGACGGGUGAGUAACACGUGGGAACGUGCCUUUAGGUUCGGAAUAGCUCCUGGAAACGGGUGGUAAUGCCGAAUGUGCCCUUCGGGGGAAAGAUUUAUCGCCUUUAGAGCGGCCCGCGUCUGAUUAGCUUGUUGGUGGGGUAAUGGCUCACCAAGGCUACGAUCAGUAGCUGGUCUGAGAGGAUGACCAGCCACAUUGGGACUGAGACACGGCCCAAACUCCUACGGGAGGCGGCAGUGGGGAAUAUUGGACAAUGGGCGCAAGCCUGAUCCAGCCAUGCCGCGUGUGUGAAGAAGGCCUUCGGGUUGUAAAGCACUUUGUACGGAAGAAAAGACAAUCGGUUAAUACCGGUUGUCAUGACGGUACCGUAAGAAUAAGACACCGGCUAACUUCGUGCCAGCAGCCGC
RNAcentral lists this ribosomal RNA (470 nucleotides) under uncultured soil bacterium. RNAcentral's name for it is "bacterial SSU rRNA". It matches the Rfam family "Bacterial small subunit ribosomal RNA", at positions 26 to 518 of the family's 1533-position model. The record is from RNAcentral.